AUCUGAAGCCAUCAUCCGUUCCGUCGGAGAACCUUCCAAAAGGCUCACACGAUCGUGUGGUGAAGACCCGGAAGCCGCCUAAAGGUGACAGAGAGAACCCAUCCCUCGAUGAGUACAGCCCCAGCACUCUCAGCCAGGUUGACCAUGAAAGCUGCAACGGAGCACGCCUGAGGGCCGAGCACGUCAUUGUUCAAGAAGACUGGACCGAGAAGUCGCUGC
Long non-coding RNA from Ixodes scapularis (black-legged tick), 219 nucleotides. RefSeq lists it as uncharacterized. The record is from RefSeq and is a predicted model, not a curated record. The transcript is spliced from 3 exons. Lineage: Eukaryota; Metazoa; Arthropoda; Arachnida; Ixodida; Ixodidae.